This 406-nucleotide ribosomal RNA is filed under the name uncultured bacterium. RNAcentral describes it as "partial 16S ribosomal RNA". It matches the Rfam family "Bacterial small subunit ribosomal RNA", at positions 30 to 526 of the family's 1533-position model. The record is from RNAcentral.
AUUGAACGCUGGCGGCAGGCCUAACACAUGUAAGUCGAGCGAGCGGCGGACGGGUGAGUAAUGUCUGGGAAACUGCCUGAUGGAGGGGGAUAACUACUGGAAACGGUAGCUAAUACCGCAUACAAUAAGAUGUGCACAGAUGGGAUUAGCUAGUAGGUGUGGUAAUGGCUCACCUAGGAGACGAUCCAUCGCUUGUCUGAGAGGAUGACCAGCCACACGGGAACGGAGACACGGUCCGGACUCCUACGGGAGGCAGCAGUGGGGAAUAUUGCACAAUGGGCGCAAGCCUGAUGCAGCCAUGCCGCGUGUGUGAAGAAGGCCUUCGGGUUGUAAAGGACUUUUGUCAGGGAAGCGGUACCUGAAGAAUAAGCACCGGCUAACUACGUGCCAGCAGCCGCGGUAAUUC